This 1372-nucleotide ribosomal RNA is filed under the name uncultured bacterium. Its description in RNAcentral is "bacterial SSU rRNA". It matches the Rfam family "Bacterial small subunit ribosomal RNA", at positions 28 to 1381 of the family's 1533-position model. The record is from RNAcentral.
GAUGAACGCUGGCGGCGUGCCUAAUACAUGCAAGUCGAGCGAACGGACGAGAAGCUUGCUUCUCUGAUGUUAGCGGCGGACGGGUGAGUAACACGUGGAUAACCUACCUAUAAGACUGGGAUAACUUCGGGAAACCGGAGCUAAUACCGGAUAAUAUUUUGAACCGCAUGGUUCAGAAGUGAAAGACGGUCUUGCUGUCACUUAUAGAUGGAUCCGCGCUGCAUUAGCUAGUUGGUAAGGUAACGGCUUACCAAGGCAACGAUGCAUAGCCGACCUGAGAGGGUGAUCGGCCACACUGGAACUGAGACACGGUCCAGACUCCUACGGGAGGCAGCAGUAGGGAAUCUUCCGCAAUGGGCGAAAGCCUGACGGAGCAACGCCGCGUGAGUGAUGAAGGUCUUCGGAUCGUAAAACUCUGUUAUUAGGGAAAAACAUAUGUGUAAGUAACUGUGCACAUCUUGACGGUACCUAAUCAGAAAGCCACGGCUAACUACGUGCCAGCAGCCGCGGUAAUACGUAGGUGGCAAGCGUUAUCCGGAAUUAUUGGGCGUAAAGCGCGCGUAGGCGGUUUUUUAAGUCUGAUGUGAAAGCCCACGGCUCAACCGUGGAGGGUCAUUGGAAACUGGAAAACUUGAGUGCAGAAGAGGAAAGUGGAAUUCCAUGUGUAGCGGUGAAAUGCGCAGAGAUAUGGAGGAACACCAGUGGCAAAGGCGACUUUCUGGUCUGUAACUGACGCUGAUGUGCGAAAGCGUGGGGAUCAAACAGGAUUAGAUACCCUGGUAGUCCACGCCGUAAACGAUGAGUGCUAAGUGUUAGGGGGUUUCCGCCCCUUAGUGCUGCAGCUAACGCAUUAAGCACUCCGCCUGGGGAGUACGACCGCAAGGUUGAAACUCAAAGGAAUUGACGGGGACCCGCACAAGCGGUGGAGCAUGUGGUUUAAUUCGAAGCAACGCGAAGAACCUUACCAAAUCUUGACAUCCUUUGACAACUCUAGAGAUAGAGCCUUCCCCUUCGGGGGACAAAGUGACAGGUGGUGCAUGGUUGUCGUCAGCUCGUGUCGUGAGAUGUUGGGUUAAGUCCCGCAACGAGCGCAACCCUUAAGCUUAGUUGCCAUCAUUAAGUUGGGCACUCUAAGUUGACUGCCGGUGACAAACCGGAGGAAGGUGGGGAUGACGUCAAAUCAUCAUGCCCCUUAUGAUUUGGGCUACACACGUGCUACAAUGGACAAUACAAAGGGCAGCGAAACCGCGAGGUCAAGCAAAUCCCAUAAAGUUGUUCUCAGUUCGGAUUGUAGUCUGCAACUCGACUACAUGAAGCUGGAAUCGCUAGUAAUCGUAGAUCAGCAUGCUACGGUGAAUACGUUCCCGGGUCU